Long non-coding RNA from Papaver somniferum (opium poppy), 1547 nucleotides. RefSeq lists it as uncharacterized. The transcript has 3 exons. Lineage: Eukaryota; Viridiplantae; Streptophyta; Magnoliopsida; Ranunculales; Papaveraceae. The record is from RefSeq and is a predicted model, not a curated record.
UCUCUUUCUCUAUUCUUCUUCCGCUUCUUCUCCUUUCCCUGUUCUUCUUCCUCUGCGAAUUUGAGAGUUGGUUUGAGAGAGAGAUAAUCGAUGAGUUAGAACAGAUGAAUUAGAAGAUGUUGCUGAUGGUGAUGAAGAGAUGAGAGUGGUGUUGAUUCGUGGUUAGCGAUUGAGGGAGUUAGGGUUUCUGUGAGAUGAAGUUAUGGAGAAAUUGAUUGAUUAAAAAAAGAUUCGAGUAGUUGGUGAUGAAUAACAAAGGGGUUAGUGUUUAAUUGAAGUUCUGAAGAUGAUUCAGUGAUGAAUUUGUAAGCUAGGGUUUCAUGAGAAUAACUCUGAGAAGAUUUAGAAAGUGAAGAUGAUGCUAUAAAUAGAUGAUUAGAAGUGGGUUUAGUCGAUUGAGAAACGGGUGAAGUUAAUUAGAUGUUGGAGAUGUUCUGAGGAAGAAUUGGGGUUCAUGUGUUCUUCCCCAAAUUGAGAUUAGGGUUUCUCGGUAAUCAAAGAUGGAAUUGAAUUGUUGGGGUGUUUAGUUUUAAAAUGAGUUACUGAAUCAAGUUAAAGUAAGAAGAAGAGUUUAAUUUCAAAUGCUGAAGUGGAAUCGUAUUGAGGUAAUUGUGUUGCUCUGUCAGUUUAGUAAAGUUAUAAUUCAUGUUGUUGGGUUUGUAUGAUUAUGAAUGAAACUGAGAUUGGGAUGAGUUUAGAGUGAAGUUGUGGGUGUAUCUUAAGUUGAUAUUUGAGUUAGUGAUUGUGGAAUUGAGAUAAUGAAUGUAAUCUAUGAAUAGUCAGGGCUGUUAAUGAUGUUCUGAACUGAACUGAUUAUUGGUAAUAUGGGGAGUGAUUAGAUUGUUGUGACUGAGUACAAGAGUUGAUAUGAAUUGGUCUGGUGGAGAUGUGAUAUGAAGUGCAGGUGUUGUGUUGGCGGUGAACUGCAAAUUGCAGGUAGAGAUGUAAAGUAUAAUGGGAGUAGUUCUAGUUGAAGCUUGACAUUGUUGGUGUUGUUCUAGUAAUGACAGAAUUGGAACUGAAACUAAAGUUAAUGUGGCAGUAUUAUUGAAGUUGCAGUUGCAGUUCAACUAUAUGUGGUGGUGCAGGUUCUGUCAUAUGGAUGAAAUAAUGGAAUUCUUAAAUACUGAAGAUGUGCAGAAUAAAGUGUUGAUGUUAUGGUUGUAGUUAGUGGUAGGUUUUAGUGGAAUCUUGUUGUUGCAGGAGAGAUGCUAGUGGAGAACAAGGAUGUUGGAGUUAGACUUGAGCUGAGAUGGGUAGUGAGUGUAUGGUGUAAGAAGAAUGAGAUCGUAAAGAUGUUGAAAGAAUGUUGCAGCUACUGCAUUUGCAGGUGUUUUAAAAUGCUUUUCAAUGGUAUGAAGUUUGCGGACAUCCGUGGAGUAUUUUGAGAGUUUCAGAGACAGAUCAGGGUUGCGCAGUGGAAGCUUUGUGGCGUUGAGUCUUCUGCUAUGUUUAUUAUGUUGUAUAUUCUAUUUGCAAACCAAAUGACAAUUGUAUAUGUAUCAUUUGAGAGGAAUUAUUAUUUAUAUAUUUCUGAAUGGGGCUAG